UGUAACUACACCUGCUGCAGGCUCACAGGAGAAGGAGGCAGCUCAGGAGAUAACACUGAUGGAUUAGUGGAAUGAGAAACUUGUUCCAAAGGCAUCUUUGCUACUGAUCCUGUUUGUCUCACUUGAAUGAAAAGGAGGGAUUUCUGCAUCUACACCAGGAAUCCUGGCAGGUCCACAGGAUUUGAAGAUUAAUAGGUUGGACAAUACCUUUUCCAUGGUUGCCUGGAAACCCUUAGCUCUGCCCUUCUGCAUGCAGAAUGCAUUUUUACCAAGACCUGGCUCCUGUGGUGAAAGCUUUAUGAACUGUAGCUAUCCACAGAAAUUUAUAUGUAAAUUGCUAAUUACAGAAACGUCCUAUAUUUCAGAAGCUUGGCCUUUCAAUUUAAGUAUGGUGCACCUUUUUGUAGCAAACCCAGCAUUUAGCCUGAGGACUGUUUGGACUGCAGAACAGACAUCUUAUGGCAUAUCUGCUCACAAGGAGCUGGUGAAGGAGAAGUCUGCUGCUCCAUGGGAUGGUGCAGAAGAAUCAAGUCCAACAAAUAAUCAUUUGGGACUUCUCCUGCACUUAACACCCAUACACAGAGAAGAAGUGAGGAAUCUGGAAACUCCCCAUGAUGACUUUCCUCAUCAUCUCACCACGGGAGUGGGGCUGGAGCCAGCUGUAAUCCCAGAGACCUGUGUGUAUUUUUCUCCACCUAGCAGAGUUUGGGCAAAUCCUCCAGGAACCAGAAAUAAAUGAUUUGGAGGAAUUCCUAAGGAGAAAAUGAAUGGAUGUCAUUGUUAUGAGACCUCUCCUCUCUCUAAAUAAAUGCUCUCAACAGCAGUGAUAAUGUCUUUCA
Molecule: long non-coding RNA, 839 nt
Filed under: Cyanistes caeruleus (blue tit)
Lineage: Eukaryota; Metazoa; Chordata; Aves; Passeriformes; Paridae
Description: lncRNA (ENSCCEG00000010236.1)
Source: RNAcentral